RNAcentral lists this transfer RNA (484 nucleotides) under Bartonella grahamii. RNAcentral's name for it is "partial 16S-23S ribosomal RNA intergenic spacer". The stretch from base 6 to 79 matches the Rfam family "tRNA". Lineage: Bacteria; Pseudomonadati; Pseudomonadota; Alphaproteobacteria; Hyphomicrobiales; Bartonellaceae. The record is from RNAcentral.
CCGGAGGGCUUGUAGCUCAGUUGGUUAGAGCGCGCGCUUGAUAAGCGUGAGGUCGGAGGUUCAAGUCCUCCCAGGCCCACCAAUUUAUGCUCGUUUUUUGCUUAUCCAAGAGUAUAAAGCUUAAGCGUAUUAAAGCCUCUUCAAUCUUUGUUUAUUUUUAAAGAUUUUAUUUUAUCAUUCAGAGAUUGUUUGUUAAAUUUAUCCCAUUAAGCUUCCAAAGAGGCUUUGUCCCUUCAGUGGUACAGAUAAAUUUACAUGAUACAAAUCAAAACAGGACAGGUAAUUCAAGUUGAUGAAUUUGGUUAUGGUUGAUUUGAGAGAGCAUUAUUUAGGGGCCGUAGCUCAGCUGGGAGAGCACCUGCUUUGCAAGCAGGGGGUCGUCGGUUCGAUCCCGUCCGGCUCCACCAUUUGGUCAUCAUCGUGUUGUGAGAACACGGUUUAGUAAGGGGGGUUAUACCCUUUUGCUUGUUCUAUUGAAAUUGUG